Molecule: long non-coding RNA, 951 nt
Organism: Bactrocera oleae (olive fruit fly)
Lineage: Eukaryota; Metazoa; Arthropoda; Insecta; Diptera; Tephritidae
Source: RefSeq, a predicted model, not a curated record
AGAAAAACUAAUGUUCAAAAAGAAAUUUGUAUAAAAUAUUUUUUUAAUUUUUUAUAAAUUUAUUCAAACUGUUGUGCAAAAAUAGUAAAUGCAUGUUAAUUUAACGCCCUAUAACAAUUUAAGUUUUGCUGCUGUAAAAUGUACAAAACAGCUGUUCUUACAGGGCUGAUGGAGGCUCUCUCACGUUUCAUAUCACUAGGGUGCUAUGCGUUUAAUUUUGCGCAGCUCUAUUAGAACCUUGCUCUCCACAUAUAACAUCAUACCACCAUAACACCUAGUCGGUAAUUUCUAUACACAGUUAUAUACCGACAAAUCAUAUUUGCAUACAUAUGUAUAUGAGUGUGUAUACAUAUAUAGAGGUAUGUAUGUGCACUGCUAUGUGGCUAUUUAGCACGAUAAGAAACGUUAGUUGCCAAUGAAUGUCAACAAAGGUCAACUAAAAUCGGUCUUUUCGAUUCACUAGCAACAUUUGAGAUGAGUAAAAGAAAGUUUAAAGUUAGAGGUUAUCAGGAAACGAAUAAAUGGAGUGUCUGCGUUAAGUAUUUGCGGCGGAAGCACGUGGUUUCAGUGCAACAACAAGUCAUUUUGCCGGUCACCUUCGCUCCUGCAAAGCAGCGCUCAGUUAUGUAGGAACUUAAAACGUCGCUUAACAAUGCAACAAUCGAAAAUGUAUACUCACUAUACUCCCAAAAGCAUACAUACAAACAUGUAUAUAUAAAUUUUUGCACACGUAUGUAAUAAACAGUGCAAGGAUAUUUUAGUACAAAAUAAACACAUACCCCGAUUUAGAUGCCUGUGUUGACGUAAUAGAGUGGAUGCGCAAACGAUGAGCGAUGUCUUUCAGCUCCUGAAUAGUUUUAGCUUCAGGCUUGUGGUACGACAUAUUUGCGCUAAGAUUUUUGCUUUGGAUUAAUAAAAAUGUGUAGAAAACUUUUUGAGAGUUGCUCAAAA